Molecule: ribosomal RNA, 326 nt
Filed under: uncultured eukaryote
Lineage: Eukaryota
Description: partial 18S ribosomal RNA
Rfam family: Eukaryotic small subunit ribosomal RNA
Source: RNAcentral
CCCUUAGAUGUUCUGGGCCGCACGCGCGCUACACUGAUGCAUUCAACGAGCCUAUCCUUGACCGACAGGUCCGGGUAAUCUUUGAAUCUGCAUCGUGACGGGGAUAGAUUAUUGCAAUUAUUAAUCUUCAACGAGGAAUGCCUAGUAGGCGCAAGUCAUCAGCUUGCGUCGAUUACGUCCCUGCCCUUUGUACACACCGCCCGUCGCUCCUACCGAUUGAAUGUGUUGGUGAGGAGCUCGGAUUGGCAGCAGUUGGUGGUUCGCCACCGGCUAUUGCUGAGAAGUCCUCCAAACCGCCCCAUUUAGAGGAAGGAGAAGUCGUAACA